GUGGGGAAUAUUGGGCAAUGGGGGAAACCCUGACCCAGCGACGCCGCGUGAGGGAAGAAGGCCUUAGGGUCGUAAACCUCUGUUGUGUGGGAAGAAGAGCGUGACGGUACCACACGAGGAAGUCCCGGCUAACUACGUGCCAGCAGCCGCGGUAAUACGUAGGGGACGAGCGUUGUCCGGAUUUACUGGGCGUAAAUGGCGCGUAGGCGGUCAUUUAAGUCAGCUGUGAAAUGGUUUGGCUUAACCGGAUCAUGCGGUUGAAACUGAAUUUCUUGAGUGCAGGAGAGGAAAGGGGAAUUCCCAGUGUAGCGGUGAAAUGCGUAGAUAUUGGGAGGAACACCAGUGGCGAAGGCGCCUUUCUGGACUGUGUCUGACGCUGAGAUGCGAAAGCCAGGGUAGCGAACGGGAUUAGAUACCCCGGUAGUCC
This 427-nucleotide ribosomal RNA is filed under the name uncultured bacterium. RNAcentral describes it as "partial 16S ribosomal RNA". It matches the Rfam family "Bacterial small subunit ribosomal RNA", at positions 354 to 796 of the family's 1533-position model. The record is from RNAcentral.